UACAGAGGGUGCAAGCGUUGUCCGGAAUUACUGGGUGUAAAGGGUGUGUAGGCGGGGCUGUAAGUCAGAGGUGAAAUCCCACGGCUUAACCGUGGAACUGCCUUUGAUACUGCAGCUCUUGAGUCUCGGAGAGGUCACUAGAAUUCGUGGUGUAGCGGUGAAAUGCGUAGAUAUCACGAGGAAUACCAGAAGCGUAGGCGGGUGGCUGGACGACGACUGACGCUGAGGCACGAAAGCGUGGGGAGCAAACAUG
RNAcentral lists this ribosomal RNA (253 nucleotides) under uncultured bacterium. Its description in RNAcentral is "partial 16S ribosomal RNA". It matches the Rfam family "Bacterial small subunit ribosomal RNA", at positions 524 to 776 of the family's 1533-position model. The record is from RNAcentral.